UGGGAAAAUCAGAGUUAUGAGCUCUCCAUCAGGUUUCAAAAGAUCUCGAAUUUGCACUGCCCAUUGUGAUCUCAUCUCUGGUUCAAUGGCACAAAAGAACGUAUAAUCAAAAAUAAGAUCAAAUAACUCAGGUGGGUGCCAAGAGAAGAAGUCGGCCCUUAAGAACUUAAAACAAUUUGCAUUUGGAAACGAGGAAGAUAACUCUUCCGCUUUCUUAAUGGCUUUCUCAGAUAUGUCUAACCCAACAAUAUAACGUUCAGGGCAGGCAAUGGCUACCACAUCAUGACCGCUGCCACAUCCA
RNAcentral lists this unclassified non-coding RNA (301 nucleotides) under Hevea brasiliensis (rubber tree). Lineage: Eukaryota; Viridiplantae; Streptophyta; Magnoliopsida; Malpighiales; Euphorbiaceae. The record is from RNAcentral.